RNAcentral lists this ribosomal RNA (354 nucleotides) under uncultured bacterium. Its description in RNAcentral is "bacterial SSU rRNA". It matches the Rfam family "Bacterial small subunit ribosomal RNA", at positions 451 to 793 of the family's 1533-position model. The record is from RNAcentral.
UACGUUAAUAGCGUAUUCGUUUGACGUUAGCGACAGAAGAAAGCACCGGCUAACUCCGUGCCAGCAGCCGCGGUAAUACGGAGGGUGCGAGCGUUAAUCGGAAUUACUGGGCGUAAAGACGCAUGCAGGUGGUUUGUUAAGUCAGAUGUGAAAGACCCGGGGCGUCAACCUCGGAAUAGCAUUUGUAAACUAGGCAGACUAGAGUACUGUAGAGGGGGGUAGGAAUUUCAGGUGUAGCGGUGAAAAUGCGUAGAGAUCUGAAGGAAUACCGGUGGCGAAGGCGGCCCCCUCGGACAGAUACUGACACUCAGAUGCGAAAGCGUGGGGAGCAAACAGGAUUAGAUACCCUGGUAG